GUGAACGCUGGCGGUAGGCCUAACACCUGCAAGUCGAACGGCAGCACAGUAAGAGCUUGCUCUUACGGGUGGCGAGUGGCGGACGGGUGAGGAAUACAUCGGAAUCUACUUUUUCGUGGGGGAUAACGUAGGGAAACUUACGCUAAUACCGCAUACGACCUACGGGUGAAAGCAGGGGAUCUUCGGACCUUGCGCGAUUGAAUGAGCCGAUGUCGGAUUAGCUAGUUGGCGGGGUAAGGGCCCACCAAGGCGACGAUCCGUAGCUGGUCUGAGAGGAUGAUCAGCCACACUGGAACUGAGACACGGUCCAGACUCCUACGGGAGGCAGCAGUGGGGAAUAUUGGACAAUGGGCGCAAGCCUGAUCCAGCCAUACCGCGUGGGUGAAGAAGGCCUUCGGGUUGUAAAGCCCUUUUGUUGGGAAAGAAAAGCAGCAGGUUAAUACCCCGCUGUUCUGACGGUACCCAAAGAAUAAGCACCGGCUAACUUCGUG
This 491-nucleotide ribosomal RNA is filed under the name uncultured bacterium. RNAcentral describes it as "partial 16S ribosomal RNA". It matches the Rfam family "Bacterial small subunit ribosomal RNA", at positions 29 to 507 of the family's 1533-position model. The record is from RNAcentral.